GUUGCCAAUCAGGGAAGCUCUCUGAGGCUUGGAGUCCAGGAAUUGUGUUGAAGGUCACUUGUGUAGGCCUGGAGUGCCCACAUGACUGACCUUAGCCACUCGGACUCCAGGUCCUCCACCCUCCAGAGGUCAAGCUGAUAUGGGC
MicroRNA precursor from Equus asinus (donkey), 145 nucleotides. Lineage: Eukaryota; Metazoa; Chordata; Mammalia; Perissodactyla; Equidae. The record is from Ensembl.